CACCGCGGUUAAACGGGAGACCCAAGUUGAUAGACAGCGGCGUAAAGCGUGGUUAAGAUAUUAAUUAAAUAGGAUUAAAUGGCCUCUAAGCAGUCAAAUACUAUCGAAGCCACAAAGCACAUCUACGAAAGUAACCCUAGCACUUAUGACCCCACGAAAGCCAUAACA
This 168-nucleotide ribosomal RNA is filed under the name Coelorinchus labiatus. RNAcentral describes it as "partial 12S rRNA". The record is from RNAcentral. Lineage: Eukaryota; Metazoa; Chordata; Actinopteri; Gadiformes; Macrouridae.